UGGGGUAUAGCUCAGUUGGUAGAAUUCUUGCCUCCCAUGCACAAGGCCCUGGGUUCAAUCCCCAGCACCACAC
Molecule: transfer RNA, 73 nt
Filed under: Ictidomys tridecemlineatus (thirteen-lined ground squirrel)
Lineage: Eukaryota; Metazoa; Chordata; Mammalia; Rodentia; Sciuridae
Description: Spermophilus tridecemlineatus (thirteen-lined ground squirrel) tRNA
Rfam family: tRNA
About the family: Transfer RNA (tRNA) molecules are approximately 80 nucleotides in length. Their secondary structure includes four short double-helical elements and three loops (D, anti-codon, and T loops).
Source: Rfam by way of RNAcentral